Molecule: long non-coding RNA, 1732 nt
Organism: Cygnus olor (mute swan)
Lineage: Eukaryota; Metazoa; Chordata; Aves; Anseriformes; Anatidae
Exons: 2
Source: RefSeq, a predicted model, not a curated record
UCUUAUGUUCUCCAUAAACAACUGCUGAUUGCUGCAACAUCCGUUCUGCCGCUGGUUUAACUCCUGGAGAAUGCUUGCAAUUCGAUUACAGAGCAAGGGAAUCUCAAUAUCAUUGCCUUUCCUUCUAUAAAAGGAAUAUAUAUAUGAAAAGAAACAUGUGGCCCUACUGUAUGCAUGCACACAUACGUUUAUUGGGGAAAAAAAAGAAAAGAAAAACAGUAGUCUUGUACUUCAAUUUCCUCUCUUUUAUUUAUGGUCUCUCUUGACUAGCUUAUCCAUGAAAGUUUUCUGCUGUGAUGCUGAGUAUGAAACAAAGGAAAUCACAGAGAGGAAAACGACAAUUAUGAACAACUACAGAGGAGACUAAAGAACAAGCAGUCUGUGCAGCUGUCACACAAAAACCGUAUCACCCAUCUUCUGGCAGAAGAAAUUGGUAUCUAAGAGGGGUUUUCAGCCAUCAGAGAGAAAUGUAAGAGGGCUGAGUCAUGAGGAUGGCGUUGCAGAAGAGGACAAAGAAAUAUUAAGACCAAGCUUUCAGGAUCCAUAGUAUGUUGGAUAUGAACAACAUGGAAUAAAACUAAAUAUAUUGGGAAUGUUAUGAGAAAGAAAACUACAGACAUUUUCUACUUUCAUUUUGAAAACAUAAAUAAGCCAGGAGAGUUUUAAUAGUUAAAUGUAUCUGACCCAAUUUUUGCACAUCUUUAAUUUAAAAUUCUCUGAAUUGUAUUUAGCAAAAAUAUUCACAAUAGCAGUAGAUACAGCGCUUGUCAGUUAAUCUGUUUAUAAUGAAAUAGCAUAUAAACAUUUUUUUCCUGAAACAACAUAAAUCUAAGCCAGAGCUUAAAAACAAAAUCUAUGGAAACCUCUACAUAUUUGCAGCAAUAUUCAUUUUUAAUGUGCUGAUCAUAUAUGUUAAUGUAAAAAUCAAGAUCUCAUUUAGACUGGGGGAUAAUAUUCAGCCUUCCAAUUGAUCAUGAAACAACAGUUUGGAAGUCUCUGUCACGUCAUUUCAGUUAUGUUAAAAAUAAAGCAGAACUGAAAAUAGUUUAGUUCCAGUUAAAGAAACCCUUAACGUCCACACUGUUUUUGCAGCACUCUCACAUUUGUUGAUGCUGUGUUGGCUGAGGCAUUACGUACAAAGCCCAGUCUGCCGAGCUUAGAUCAGAAAACUGAACCUGCACUUUAGGCUGCUCACAAAGCAGUGCUACUGCACUAAGUGUCCAACUUUCAAAGCAACGGAGGGAAGGUCGUGACAUGCUGUAAAGACCAUCACAAUGAUAGCCUGUUCGGGUGCCUAACCUCAGGUGAGAUCCCUUGUAGAUAGUUUCAUUUAUUUUCCUCCAUUAACUGGGUAUGAAACUGAAGCACCGCAGAAAAAGUGCUUCCUAAGUCUUUAGGCUUCAGUGAACUGCUUGCGCUCAGCAGGCUAGAGCCCACACUAUUUUCCAUCUUAGGUACCUAAUGGUUGUUCGAGUCCAUUUUAAGUAAAUGCCUUAAAGUCUGACCUAUAGAUUGUAAAUGUUUUUACAUCAAUGUGUAAUCAGGUGUUGUAGGUGCGGUUUAGGCAUUGCAUGGAAGCAGAGUCUCUUAGCUUGACAUAAACAUCUAAAAAGUUGAGGUUUUAAAAUUUUUUUUUAUUCCUCUCAUCAACAUUAAAAAAACCAACACCGUAACCUGUUACUCCUGUCCAUUCUGUAAUAAGCUACAUGAAAGAAAUAAAUUCUAAAAAACA